UCUGACGGAGCAACGCCGCGUGAGUGAUGAAGGUUUUCGGAUCGUAAAACUCUGUUGUUAGGGAAGAACAAGUACCGUUCGAAUAGGGCGGUACCUUGACGGUACCUAACCAGAAAGCCACGGCUAACUACGUGCCAGCAGCCGCGGUAAUACGUAGGUGGCAAGCGUUGUCCGGAAUUAUUGGGCGUAAAGCGCGCGCAGGCGGUUUCUUAAGUCUGAUGUGAAAGCCCCCGGCUCAACCGGGGAGGGUCAUUGGAAACUGGGGAACUUGAGUGCAGAAGAGGAGAGUGGAAUUCCACGUGUAGCGGUGAAAUGCGUAGAGAUGUGGAGGAACACCAGUGGCGAAGGCGACUCUCUGGUCUGUAACUGACGCUGAGGCGCGAAAGCGUGGGGAGCGAACAGGAUUAGAUACCCUGGUAGUCCACGCCGUAAACGAUGAGUGCUAAGUGUUAGAGGGUUUCCGCCCUUUAGUGCUGCAGCAAACGCAUUAAGCACUCCGCCUGGGGAGUACGGUCGCAAGACUGAAACUCAAAG
RNAcentral lists this ribosomal RNA (534 nucleotides) under Bacillus licheniformis. RNAcentral describes it as "bacterial SSU rRNA". It matches the Rfam family "Bacterial small subunit ribosomal RNA", at positions 382 to 906 of the family's 1533-position model. The record is from RNAcentral. Lineage: Bacteria; Bacillati; Bacillota; Bacilli; Caryophanales; Bacillaceae.